This 27-nucleotide non-coding RNA is filed under the name Mus musculus (house mouse). The record is from RNAcentral. Lineage: Eukaryota; Metazoa; Chordata; Mammalia; Rodentia; Muridae.
UGUGUCAAGCUGGAAAUGUGCUCCGCA